Molecule: long non-coding RNA, 224 nt
Organism: Poecile atricapillus (Black-capped chickadee)
Lineage: Eukaryota; Metazoa; Chordata; Aves; Passeriformes; Paridae
Exons: 3
Source: RefSeq, a predicted model, not a curated record
UUGUCCUGAUAAUCUGCUAUUUUGGGAUCCAGGAAGUCUACAAGAUCAGACGUUCUUUCUCCAGUUCUUUGAUAUAGUUUGUUAUUAUCCCAUGGCAGAAUUACAGGACUACAGAGGCUGGCUAUGGAUGACAGUCGUGCGUCUGGCCUGCUGCUCAGCACAUCCACACAGGAGCUGAGGGAUCAUCCUUGCACAGCCCAUCCUGGAAGAGGAGAGUUCUUUGA